This 497-nucleotide ribosomal RNA is filed under the name uncultured bacterium. RNAcentral describes it as "partial 16S ribosomal RNA". It matches the Rfam family "Bacterial small subunit ribosomal RNA", at positions 28 to 507 of the family's 1533-position model. The record is from RNAcentral.
GAUGAACGCUGGCGGCGUGCCUAAUACAUGCAAGUCGAGCGAACAGACGAGGAGCUUGCUCCUCUGACGUUAGCGGCGGACGGGUGAGUAACACGUGGAUAACCUACCUAUAAGACUGGGAGAACUUCGUGAAACCGGAGCUAAUACCGGAUAAUAUAUUGAACCGCAUGGUUCAAUACUGAAAGACGGUUUUGCUGUCACUUAUAGAUGGAUCCGCGCCGCAUUAGCUAGUUUGUAAGGUAACGGCUUACCAAGGCGACGAUGCGUAGCCGACCUGAGAGGGUGAUCGGCCACACUGGAACUGAGACACGGUCCAGACUCCUACGGGAGGCAGCAGUAGGGAAUUUUGCGCAAUGGGCGAAAGCUUGACGGAGCAACGCCGCGUGAGUGAUGAAGGUCUUCGGAUCGUAAACCUCUGUUAUUAGGGAAGAAAAAAUGUGUAAGUAAAUAUGCACGUCUUGACGGUACCUAAUCAGAAAGCAACGGCUAACUACGUG